This is a long non-coding RNA of Calidris pugnax (ruff), 4292 nucleotides long. RefSeq lists it as uncharacterized. The record is from RefSeq and is a predicted model, not a curated record. The transcript is spliced from 5 exons. NCBI's taxonomy places the organism in Eukaryota, Metazoa, Chordata, Aves, Charadriiformes, Scolopacidae.
AGGGAGGCCCCGCGUGGGAGCCGAGGGCUCAGCGUGGGGCUAGCGGGAGCCUUCGUGUCCGCCGGCGGCCCUUCCUCACUCCCUCCUCCCCCGGGGCACAUCCCAGCUGCUCGGUUCCCGGCCCUCACGCACCCCGCAGCGGGGCCGCCGCGCUCUCCGCGCCUGCUGCCCGCUUCCCCUCACGGUUUGGCGCCGCCGGCUGUGGGGCUGCUCCCUCCGGCGGCCCCGGUGACCUCCGAGAGGGACGGACAGACCGCCCAAGGUACGUGAGGCUUCGCUGGCCUCACCUGUGCUCGCCUGGGGGUUAGAGGUGAUUUUCACCCGGUGUGUCUGAGGGUGGGGGUGCAUUGCUUUAUUGACCUCGGCUUUGGACUGUCUUCUAGUAACCUUCGCCAGGAAUUCCUAAGAAAGCAGCUAAACCCCUGCUGAGGUGAGGUGUGAGGUGAGCAUCAGUGGGAAAGGAGCCACACGGGUAAAAAGAUGAUAAUAGGAGGAGCCAGUGUUGGGACUCUUCAUGCUGCUGGUGGGGAGUGGUGCAGGCGGUGGUACCAGCGCAGGUGGGAGACAGACCACUCUCAGACUUGGUUUGAGCAGGGUUGUCAUGCAGAUGGGCUGUUUGUCACCUGUGUCUCUGGCAUUUACAGGCAGUGUCUGCUUUAUAAUUAGACCUGAAUGGGUGACAAAAGUAUCUCCCUGGGCCACUUCUUUUGCAUUCGUGUGUGUUCACUGCAGUCUCCAAUUUCUUUGGCUGUAUUACUCAUAGGGCUAAUGAUGCUCUCAGAGUCCUGAUGCUUUGAGCAGAAGGUGCAGGAGAAAGGUGGCAUGGAAAGAAAAAAUCGGUUUCCCUUGGAGCAACUUCUGCAUUAUGAAAAAGGAUGUGCUGGUGGUGAGUCUUAACUUGGUGAGACCUCCAGGAGCAUAAACACAUGCAGCUUAUAGCUUUUGCUGGUACAGUCCCAACAGGCAGUUUAGAUAUUUGCUUGGAUUGUUUGUCCACACAGAGGUCUGCAUUGUUGUGUCUUUGUUGGCAAGUGGGUGCUGAAUAAAAGCUGUUGUGGACAUAACUUAGUUGUAUUUGAGGAACACCUUACUUUGCAAUGUAGAUGUUGCCCACUGCCUGGAAAAAAUACCUGACUCUGCACAUUGCUUAUUUCUUGGAACGUGUUGAAUGACUUCUGCUCAGAAGGUGUGUCUUCUGUGAUUGGUGUAACCUAUUAAGUAGGUAACAAUUUAUAGUAAGCAUUAGUGCUCAUCUUAAAAUCCCAGUUUUUUCCUUUAUGACUUGAAUUUAGUCAGUUACAGCUUCAUACAUGGAAGAACUUCUUCCCCAUCAAUGGUGACUUGUCCUGGUACGCUCACAGAUCCACUUGUGAGGUGUUGGUGUGGAUUGUUUAGAAGGCCAUAAGCGCUGUGGAAAAGUACAUGUCAGAAUAAACAUGUUGCUCUUUCACUCUGAGACAAUGCAAGUCAACGCUUUUUUUUUUGUAGUAGAAGAGCCUCUGCCCUUUUGUGAGGGAGUAAAUCCAGAGACAAUAUAACAUCAUAGCAGCUUUCAUCUGUUAUCCAAGAGAACCUGUGCUAUGCUUUGCCUGUUCACCUGCUGUUAGUGUUUUACCUCAUUAUGUCUAUUUCUUGUGUAUUGCAACAGUUCUUGGUGUGUGCUGUUCCCAUGGUUUCGCAGCUGUUUGCCAACAGUGGGCUGAGGAAACCCCUCCAAGUGCUGUCUGACAAGAUGUAACUAUGUCUGAGGAAAAAAACUAAUAAUGUGUGUAUACUAACACUUCUGCUUGAUGUUUAUUUUUAGCAAGAGCACAGUCAGAACUUUCCCAAGGACUACUUUGGUGCUGUGGGAACAGUCUUCCAGUUUGUUGACAGAAGUACCUUUCUCUUCAUCAGAGAUAAACUUCUGUAUAGCCAUGAACAUCUUGAUUGCCCAUCUCUUCCACUGACAAAAGAUGCAAUUUUGUUUCUGCUAUGAUGGAGAAAGAGUUGAGCUCAGUCACUGGAUUAUGAGCAGUGAAUAAUGUCUAUCUUGUGUCUGGUGCUGUUCCACUUGGAGAGACAGUAAGCUUUGUUCAUUGCUUGUGACUGCCAGUGAAGUCUGUUCUCUAGUUGCUUACUGGAGAGGAAAGUUCUGGUAGCCUGGCUCAGCUAGCAGGUAUUAACUCAAGAACCAGUGCAGGCAAUCUGAUUCCUUGUGUUUGACCAUAGGAUGUGGAUUGAAAAACAUUGUGAACAGCAGGUCUAAGAUCCUUUUGGCUGUUGAGCUUUCUGCACAAGGGAGUCAGUUUCUUAGAAAAUAGCUAGCUAUGCAGAAGGACAAGGAAAAUGGAGUACUUAAACCUGCUGAUGGCCCGAGUGAAGAACACAUCAAAGGUUACCAUUCUGAUCCCUGUAAUCCAAGGAAGCUGAAUAAAAGGUUUUUCAGUGCAAUUGUGAUACUGGUGUUCAUCCCAGUGGUGCUUCCUGUUGCCCAUUUCUUACUUCUCUGAGGAGUACAGAGACUGAGUUUCUUUGCACUUACCUACACUUUCAUUUUGUCUGGGAGGCAGGAAAUGCUUUCUCUUGACAAUUUCUAGCAACUUUAUCCCAGCUUCAGACUUUUGGGUCUGGAGUAGAGUCCUGAUUAAGUAUCUGUUGCUGCAAGCUUGUCAGCUCUGCUUCUCAUGCACUGUUGCAGCAUAACUCAGGCUUAUUUUGGAAAGUGUGCUUUCCUUGAAGGGCUAAGUGAACAGUGACACGAGAGCAAGUCAGUGCUGUGGUAGAUGUCUAAUUUCCACUCUUGCAGGUGUGUGGACUCUCUUACGCUAAUUCUGUUCUUGUAACUUUGGUUGGUUUUAAGCCAAAUGAGCAAAAUAAAAGAUAUUUUUUUUCAUAAUAUUUUGGUCACCUCCUGCUUCUUUCAUAUGAAUUCACUGAUUGUUUUUUCAGGACCUCAGCUAAGGAAUUCCUUUGGGUAAUGUGUAUAUGAACUGGGGGAUGCAGUUGUGUCCAAAAUUUUCAAUUUGGCAAAGCUAUAGGAGGUGAGGUGAAAGAUUGCAAUUCUCUUCAGUCUUUUCUAACUAUUACUGGAAAGUCCUUAUAGCUUGUUCUUUUUCUAGGGUGUGCACAGACUUCACAAUGUAAAUCCAUAACGAAGCUUUCAGUAAAGCCUGCCAAACAAGUUGAUGCAAACUAGCUUAUCUGUUGUCAGUUGUGCUUUUUACGUGUCAUUAAGCAACUGAACUUCCUCAUACGCCAUGUAAAUGUUGCAACAAUUUUUAUUUUCAUUUAUUCACAAUUGCACACAUAAGUAAUAUACUUCAGGCACACUGCUUUCCAGAGAGUUGUUAAAGGCUCUUUUUUUUUUUAAAUGGGUAACAUGAAUUAUGCUUUGUAACUCAGAUCUUUGUAAGAUCUGACAGUAGGCAGGCUAAGUCUAAGGACAUGUUCAUUGACUUCAUGAACUGGUUGCAGUUAGUUCAGUGGUAAGUACCAUUGAAUAGCAUUUGAGAGAUGACUCAAUUGCACUGAAUAAUGGUACAAUUUGCACUGUGCAGUUAAACUGGUCAGUUAGAAAUCCACAAUAUCACACCACCUUUGUGCUCAGCUAAGUAUAGUGGUCCAACAGGUGUGUCAGCCACAAAAAUGUACUUGCCUUGGGUGUGAGAUGCCACAGAUCUUGGCUUUUUGCAAAGAGUUCCCAAGUAGAUAAACUAGCUUGUGCUACGUUUGUUGUGCUUGAACACCUUUAAGAUAACAGGAAGAAAAUAUCACUGCUCUGGAAAAAUCUAACUAUUGAAUAUAGUAAGAUACAGUCAAAUUUUAUGAAGUGUUUCUGCAGAACUUUGCUUUAGUGGUCAUUUGACUCAUAUUGCUGCUUGAAAAUUCUUCUCAAAGGAGAAUUCCUACAGCAUGUGGUGAAAUCUAAUAUGAAAGGAAAGAUUUGCUAUGUUGAAUAUGUAGUUGAGUGCUUUUGCUGUAAUGAGAAGAUACCUUGUCUCUGCAUAUCUGACACGUUCAUAGCUAUUUUUAUAUGUGCCUUCUCAUAUUUUUUUUUCCUCUUCCAAGUUCCUGAGGAGAUGAUGUUCUUUGAUUGUGUUGUUUAUAUCACACAUAAAUCUCUAAAGCUUCACCUUGCAGGACAGUGCUGAAGUGUGUGGUAAUAGAUAAGCUGUCAGAACUACUGUAACUGUUGUUGUUUAUUCAUAGGCACUUGGAGGUAGCAUGUCACCAUACUGCAAUGGAAGCCUUAAAACACCCAACCUGUGCCCCCACAUGAAAAUCAGAAAAUGCAUAGCAUCUUGAGAAGC